CCUACGGGUGGCAGCAGUGAGGAAUAUUGGUCAAUGGCCGGAAGCCUGAACCAGCCAAGCCGCGUGAAGGACGAAGGUGCCAAGCAUUGUAAACUUCUUUUGUCAAGGGACAAAAUCAGGCUCGAGAGCCUGACCGAGGGUACUUGAAGAAAAAGCAUCGGCUAACUCCGUGCCAGCAGCCGCGGUAAUACGGAGGAUGCGAGCGUUAUCCGGAGUUAUUGGGUUUAAAGGGUGCGUAGGGGGACUGUUAAGUCAGCGGUAAAAGCGCGGGGCUCAACCCCGGCGAGCCGUUGAUACUGGCUGUCUUGAGAUGUCGAGAGGUAUGCGGAAUGCGCAGUGUAGCGGUGAAAUGCUUAGAUAGUGUGCAGAACUCCGAUUGCGAAGGCAGCAGACCGGCGGCGAUCUGACGCUGAGGCACGAAAGCGUGGGUAUCGAACAGGAUUAGAUACCCGUGUAGUC
RNAcentral lists this ribosomal RNA (459 nucleotides) under uncultured bacterium. Its description in RNAcentral is "partial 16S ribosomal RNA". It matches the Rfam family "Bacterial small subunit ribosomal RNA", at positions 338 to 795 of the family's 1533-position model. The record is from RNAcentral.